AUACAUGGCAGGGUGUGUAAUGUUUUCUUUAUUGAUUUAAUGUAAAUUUUAUGCAUUAUUUUUAAAAAAUUUUUAUCAUUGUGCACUUCUUCUCUAUAUUCUCUAUAAGUGUGAGACAUUUCAUACUCCACCGUCCGCGCAAUUUUCGUAAAAAGGGAUACAAAGUUUUUGCUUCACGUAUUAAUAUUACUAGAAUAUUUUAAGGUAUUCAAAACAGAAUAACGUCAGUCAGUCAUGCAAUGUUAUGAAAACGUAACAACACAAUGACAUCGUUGGAUACGCUCCAACGACAGAGCCUCUUUUACGAAAGAAACAUUCAAAGGCGAACGAGGAGAUUUAAAACGUGAUCAAAACAUCAAACGAACAAGAUCGCUUCGGUCCAGUGAUUUUGUCCAGACGAUUUGUCUUCGUACAAUGCUAUACAUUAAAAUGUUGCAGUUUGGUACAAUGAUUUAUGAAUUCAAUUAUUAUAUAUUUCUGUAAUUAAGUUUAUUAAUUAGGAAAAAAGAAUUGGUUGCACUAUUGGUUCACUGGUGCUAGGACCUCUUGGGAGUCCGCACGGGUAGGUACCACCAUCCCGCCUAUUUUCGCCGUGAUGCGUUUCGGUUCGGGUGGGGUAGACGUUGUAACUAUACUGAGACCUUAGAACUUAUAUCUCAAGAUGGGCGGCGCAUUUACGUUGUAGAUGUUUAUGGACUUCAGUAACCACUUAACAUCAGGUGGACUGUGAGCUCGUCCAUCCAUCUAAGCAAUAAAAAUAAAAAACAAUAUUAAAAAA
Molecule: long non-coding RNA, 778 nt
Organism: Bombyx mori (domestic silkworm)
Lineage: Eukaryota; Metazoa; Arthropoda; Insecta; Lepidoptera; Bombycidae
Exons: 2
Source: RefSeq, a predicted model, not a curated record